Molecule: ribosomal RNA, 650 nt
Filed under: uncultured bacterium
Lineage: Bacteria
Description: bacterial SSU rRNA
Rfam family: Bacterial small subunit ribosomal RNA
Source: RNAcentral
CCUUUAGGAGGGGGAUAACGGAUGGAAACAUUCGCUAAAACCCCAUAUGCCCCCGGGUGAAAAAGAGGAGAUAAGUAAAACUGAAUCACCUCUGCCUGAAGAGAAGCUCGCGGCUGAUUAGCUAGUUGGUAGGGUAAAGGCCUACCAAGGCGACGAUCAGUAGCUGGUCUGAGAGGACGAUCAGCCACACUGGAACUGAGACACGGUCCAGACUCCUACGGGAGGCAGCAGUGAGGAAUUUUCUGCAAUGGGCGCAAGCCUGACAGAGCAAUACCGCGUGAGGGAUGAAGACUUACUGAGUUGUAAACCUCGGUGCCUUAAGGAAGAAGAUCUGACGGUACUUAAGGUGGAAAGCAUCGGCUAACUCCGUGCCAGCAGCCGCGGUAAGACGGGGGAUGCAAGUGUUAUCCGGAUUUACUGGGCGUAAAGCGUCUGCAGGUGGUUUCUUAAGUCUGCUGUUAAAUCUUGAGGCUCAACCUCAAAUCUGCAGUAGAAACUAGGAGACUUGAGUAUAGUAGGGGUAGAGGGAAUUUCCAGUGGAGCGGUGAAAUGCGUAGAUAUUGGAAAGAACACCGAUGGCGAAGGCACUCUACUGGGCUAUUACUGACACUCAGAGACGAAAGCUAGGGGAGCAAAUGGGAUUAGAUACC